This 468-nucleotide ribosomal RNA is filed under the name uncultured bacterium. RNAcentral describes it as "partial 16S ribosomal RNA". It matches the Rfam family "Bacterial small subunit ribosomal RNA", at positions 28 to 507 of the family's 1533-position model. The record is from RNAcentral.
GACGAACGCUGGCGGCGGGCUUAACACAUGCAAGUCGAACGGAAAGGCCCUGCUUUUGUGGGGUUCUCGAGUGGCGAACGGGUGAGUAACACGUGAGUAACCUGCCCUUGACUUUGGGAUAACUUCAGGAAACUGGGGCUAAUACCGGAUAGGAGCUCCUGCUGCAUGGUGGGGGUUGGAAAGUUUCGGCGGGUGGGGAUGGACUCGCGGCUUAUCAGCUUGUUGGUGGGGUAGUGGCUUACCAAGGCUUUGACGGGUAGCCGGCCUGGGAGCGUGAACGGCCACAUUGGGACUGAGAUACGGACCAGACUCCUACGGGAGGCAGCAGUGGGGAAUAUUGCACAAUGGGAGGAAGCCUGAUGCAGCAACGCCGCGUGCGGGAUGACGGCCUUCGGGUUGUAAACCGCUUCCGCCUGUGACGAAGCGGGAGUGACGGUAAUGGGUAAAGAAGCACCGGCUAACUACGUG